AGUGGGAUUGCUGGAUCAUAUGGUCAUUCUGUUAAUUUUUUGAGGAAUCUCCCCACUUUUCUCAUAGCUGCUGUACCACUUUGCAUUUCCACCAACAGC
This 99-nucleotide microRNA precursor is filed under the name Marmota monax (woodchuck). Lineage: Eukaryota; Metazoa; Chordata; Mammalia; Rodentia; Sciuridae. The record is from RNAcentral.